This 464-nucleotide ribosomal RNA is filed under the name Vreelandella stevensii. RNAcentral's name for it is "partial 16S ribosomal RNA". It matches the Rfam family "Bacterial small subunit ribosomal RNA", at positions 338 to 795 of the family's 1533-position model. Lineage: Bacteria; Pseudomonadati; Pseudomonadota; Gammaproteobacteria; Oceanospirillales; Halomonadaceae. The record is from RNAcentral.
CCUACGGGUGGCUGCAGUGGGGAAUAUUGGACAAUGGGCGAAAGCCUGAUCCAGCCAUGCCGCGUGUGUGAAGAAGGCCUUCGGGUUGUAAAGCACUUUCAGUGGGGAAGAAAGCCUUGGGGCUAAUACCCUCGAGGAAGGACAUCACCCACAGAAGAAGCACCGGCUAACUCCGUGCCAGCAGCCGCGGUAAUACGGAGGGUGCGAGCGUUAAUCGGAAUUACUGGGCGUAAAGCGCGCGUAGGCGGUCUGAUAAGCCGGUUGUGAAAGCCCCGGGCUCAACCUGGGAACGGCAUCCGGAACUGUCAGGCUUGAGUGCAGGAGAGGAAGGUAGAAUUCCCGGUGUAGCGGUGAAAUGCGUAGAGAUCGGGAGGAAUACCAGUGGCGAAGGCGGCCUUCUGGACUGACACUGACGCUGAGGUGCGAAAGCGUGGGUAGCAAACAGGAUUAGAUACCCGGUAGUC